CACUCUGUAGCUCAGUUGAUUCAGUAGAGCGCUGUACCAGAAACGCAGGGCCGCAGGUUCGAUUCAUGCCAGGGACC
Paramuricea clavata is the source of this 77-nucleotide non-coding RNA. The record is from the annotation of a GenBank genome assembly. NCBI's taxonomy places the organism in Eukaryota, Metazoa, Cnidaria, Anthozoa, Malacalcyonacea, Plexauridae.